GAUGAACGCUGGCGGCGUGCUUAACACAUGCAAGUCGAACGAAGCACUUUAUUUGAUUUCCUUCGGGACUGAUUAUUUUGUGACUGAGUGGCGGACGGGUGAGUAACGCGUGGGUAACCUGCCUUGCACAGGGGGAUAACAGUUGGAAACGGCUGCUAAUACCGCAUAAGCGCACAGCAUCGCAUGAUGCAGUGUGAAAAACUCCGGUGGUAUAAGAUGGACCCGCGUUGGAUUAGCUAGUUGGUGAGGUAACGGCCCACCAAGGCGACGAUCCAUAGCCGACCUGAGAGGGUGACCGGCCACAUUGGGACUGAGACACGGCCCAAACUCCUACGGGAGGCAGCAGUGGGGAAUAUUGCACAAUGGGCGAAAGCCUGAUGCAGCGACGCCGCGUGAGCGAAGAAGUAUUUCGGUAUGUAAAGCUCUAUCAGCAGGGAAGAUAAUGACGGUACCUGACUAAGAAGCACCGGCUAAAUACGUG
RNAcentral lists this ribosomal RNA (481 nucleotides) under uncultured bacterium. RNAcentral's name for it is "partial 16S ribosomal RNA". It matches the Rfam family "Bacterial small subunit ribosomal RNA", at positions 28 to 507 of the family's 1533-position model. The record is from RNAcentral.